Molecule: RNA transcript, 1238 nt
Organism: Magnolia sinica
Lineage: Eukaryota; Viridiplantae; Streptophyta; Magnoliopsida; Magnoliales; Magnoliaceae
Exons: 3
Source: RefSeq, a predicted model, not a curated record
GCUUGAUAAAGUUCAUUGUUCAGUCAGAAUUGCUUCUUUUUUUUUUUUUUCUUUUAUAUAGUAAAUUCAAUUACAUUGUCUAAAAUAUACAAACAUCAACUCUCUUAAGCUGAGGCAUCCUUGUUGUAUGUAUCAUGUAUGACAUCAUAUACUAUCUGCUUAUUGCUGGAAACUGAUUACAGAUUCAGUUGACCUGCAAAUUCACCUGGAAGCAUCAGCAUGACUGGAUCACUGGCCAUCCCUCACAGGGAGAUGUCUCCACCAUCUCAGCUAUGGAAGGCUCCUUGUUGUGCCAGACAAAUGUGGAUUUUGCAUAGUUGAUUAUUUUGAUUGUUUUUAAGCAGUUUUGUUUUUGGUGAAUAUCUUAUUAUUCAAUAACUUUCUUUAUGAUUUUUAUCUUUUAAAUACAGUAAGGCUCAACAGAACAAUGUUGAAAUUACAGCUACUGUACAUAGCUGUGAAAGGUUGCCUAGAAGUGAGAUUUUCUGUUAUUUCAGGUCCAGGUAAGUUCUUUUAGGGCACAAUUCUGUGUAUAAACUAUCUCUAAAGCCCAGCAGUUGAUUAUGCCCAUUGAUCAGAGGCCAAAGCCUAAUUACAAGCCUGCAUUUACUCUUCUUUGGCCAUGAGAGAUUUGUUUUUUAGGAGGAUGCUCAUAUACUCUUGGCUCACAGGAUGGCAAAAUUGAAGCUGAAGUUAAAAUCACUGGAAUUCUCAGCUUAGGAGCAUUGCAGCCUGAGGAAUCCAGAAAAUAUGGUACAACUAUUGCUCCUGGGUCACAUGCACCAGUCCAUCAACACUUCUUUGUUGCUCGUAUGGACAUGACCAUGGAUUGUAGGCCUGGUGAAACAUUCAAUCGGGGAGAGUUACGCCCAUUUUUCUCAUUGCCAAAAGUUAUGGAUGGCCUUUUCAGUCUUGCCAAGUUGCUUUUCGAUAUCAACAUUGAAUCAGCUGAUGGCCUAGCCCCGGUAACAUCUAAGCAGUCUCAUCAUUGCCUACUCUUUGGUCCUUUUAAUGUUAAGCGUACAUUGCUUCUAUGGACUCUCAGCUUAAAAACUUCAGUGGUGGCUACUGCUUUGCGUUAAAGCUAUUGAAUUAUUACAGAAUGAGUUGAAGUUGACUGGGGGCUUUUUUCAUUUUUGUUCUGGUGUUAUUCAUGUAAUGGAGGCUCCUUGUAUGAACUAUUGGUUACCACGCAGCAUGACUAAUUGUGGAAUUUGAAUGAAGUUCAUAUUUCAUUA